This 325-nucleotide ribosomal RNA is filed under the name uncultured eukaryote. RNAcentral's name for it is "partial 18S ribosomal RNA". It matches the Rfam family "Eukaryotic small subunit ribosomal RNA", at positions 1470 to 1796 of the family's 1831-position model. The record is from RNAcentral.
CCCUUAGAUGUUCUGGGCUGCACGCGCGCUACACUGAAGCGUUCAACGAGUAUUCACCUUGCCCGGGAGGGUUGGGUAAUCUUUUGAAAACGCUUCGUGAUGGGGAUAGAUUAUUGCAAUUAUUAAUCUUCAACGAGGAAUUCCUAGUAAGCGCGAGUCAUCAGCUCGUGCUGAUUACGUCCCUGCCCUUUGUACACACCGCCCGUCGCUCCUACCGAUUGAGUGAGCCGGUGAAUAAUUCGGACUGCAGCACUGCUUGGUCUCCAGGCUUUGCAGCGGAAAGUUUAGUGAACCUUAUCACUUAGAGGAAGGAGAAGUCGUAACA